RNAcentral lists this ribosomal RNA (434 nucleotides) under uncultured Clostridium sp. Its description in RNAcentral is "partial 16S ribosomal RNA". It matches the Rfam family "Bacterial small subunit ribosomal RNA", at positions 341 to 792 of the family's 1533-position model. The record is from RNAcentral. Lineage: Bacteria; Bacillati; Bacillota; Clostridia; Eubacteriales; Clostridiaceae.
ACGGGAGGCAGCAGUGGGGAAUAUUGGACAAUGGGGGAAACCCUGAUCCAGCGACGCCGCGUGAGUGAAGAAGUAUUUCGGUAUGUAAAGCUCUAUCAGCAAGGAAGAAAAUGACGGUACUUGACUAAGAAGCCCCGGCUAACUACGUGCCAGCAGCCGCGGUAAUACGUAGGGGGCAAGCGUUAUCCGGAUUUACUGGGUGUAAAGGGAGCGUAGACGGCAAAGCAAGUCUGAAGUGAAAUCCCGGGGCUCAACCCUGGAACUGCUUUGGAAACUGUUUAGCUAGAGUGCAGGAGAGGUAAGUGGAAUUCCUAGUGUAGCGGUGAAAUGCGUAGAUAUUAGGAGGAACACCAGUGGCGAAGGCGGCUUACUGGACUGUAACUGACACUGAGGCACGAAAGCGUGGGGAGCAAACAGGAUUAGAUACCCUGGUA